Molecule: ribosomal RNA, 323 nt
Filed under: uncultured eukaryote
Lineage: Eukaryota
Description: partial 18S ribosomal RNA
Rfam family: Eukaryotic small subunit ribosomal RNA
Source: RNAcentral
CCCUUAGAUGUUCUGGGCCGCACGCGCGCUACACUGAUGCAUUCAACGAGUUUCUUCCUGGUCCGAGAGGAAUGGGUAACCUUUUGAAAGUGCAUCGUGAUAGGGAUAGACUAUUGCAAUUAUUGGUCUUCAACGAGGAAUUCCUAGUAGACGUAGUUCAUCAGACUGCAUCGAUUACGUCCCUGCCCUUUGUACACACCGCCCGUCGCUCCUACCGAUUGAAUGCUCAGGUGAGCCAUUCGGACUUUCAUCAUGCUGGUUUCCAGUUUGAUGAAGGAAAGUCUUGCGAACCUUAUCAUUUAGAGGAAGGAGAAGUCGUAACA